This 453-nucleotide ribosomal RNA is filed under the name uncultured Paraprevotella sp. RNAcentral describes it as "partial 16S ribosomal RNA". It matches the Rfam family "Bacterial small subunit ribosomal RNA", at positions 341 to 792 of the family's 1533-position model. The record is from RNAcentral. Lineage: Bacteria; Pseudomonadati; Bacteroidota; Bacteroidia; Bacteroidales; Prevotellaceae.
ACGGAAGGCAGCAGUGAGGAAUAUUGGUCAAUGGGCGGAAGCCUGAACCAGCCAAGUAGCGUGAGGGAUGACUGCCCUAUGGGUUGUAAACCUCUUUUGUUCGGGAAUAAAUGAGCCCACGUGUGGGUUUUUGCAUGUACCGUUCGAAUAAGCAUCGGCUAAUUCCGUGCCAGCAGCCGCGGUAAUACGGAAGAUGCGAGCGUUAUCCGGAUUUAUUGGGUUUAAAGGGAGCGUAGGCGGUCCUUUAAGUCAGCGGUCAAAUGUCGGGGCCCAACCCCGGCCUGCCGUUGAUACUGGAGGACUUGAAUACACACAAGGAAGGUGGAAUUCGUCGUGUAGCGGUGAAAUGCUUAGAUAUGACGAAGAACUCCGAUUGGGAAGCCAGCUUACUGUAGCGCCACUGACGCUGAUGCUCGAAAGCGUGGGUAUCGAACAGGAUUAGAUACCCUGGUA